CACGUAGUUAGCCGUGGCUUUCUCACAGAGUACCGUCACUUUCUUCUUCCUCUGCGACAGAAGUUUACAACCCGAAGGCCGUCAUCCUUCACGCGGCGUUGCUGCGUCAGGGUUUCCUCCAUUGCGCAAUAUUCCCCACUGCUGCCUCCCGUAGGAGUCUGGGCCGUGUCUCAGUCCCAAUGUGGCCGAUCAACCUCUCAGUUCGGCUACUGAUCGUCGACUAGGUGGGCCGUUACCCCGCCUACUAUCUAAUCAGACGCGAGUCCAUCUGUAAGCGAUAAAUCUUUCAAAGCUUCCCCAUGCGGAAAAACUUCAAUAUGCGGUAUUAGCACAGAUUUCUCUGUGUUAUCCCCCUCUUACAGGCAGGUUACUCACGCGUUACUCACCCGUCCGCCGCUCUCCACAAAAGACUUCACCCCGAAGGGAUCAGUCUCUUGUUUCCCGCUCGACUUGCAUGUGUUAGGCACGCCGCCAGCGUUCGUCCUGAGCCAGGAUCAAACUCUC
RNAcentral lists this ribosomal RNA (504 nucleotides) under uncultured Eubacteriales bacterium. RNAcentral's name for it is "uncultured Clostridiales bacterium partial 16S ribosomal RNA". Lineage: Bacteria; Bacillati; Bacillota; Clostridia; Eubacteriales. The record is from RNAcentral.